Molecule: transfer RNA, 72 nt
Filed under: Rhipicephalus microplus (southern cattle tick)
Lineage: Eukaryota; Metazoa; Arthropoda; Arachnida; Ixodida; Ixodidae
Description: tRNA-Trp
Rfam family: tRNA
About the family: Transfer RNA (tRNA) molecules are approximately 80 nucleotides in length. Their secondary structure includes four short double-helical elements and three loops (D, anti-codon, and T loops).
Source: Rfam by way of RNAcentral
GACUCGGUGGCGACACGGUAGCGCGUCUGACUCCAGAUCAGAAGGUUGCGUGUUCGAAUCACGUCCGGGUCA